GAAAUGCGAUAAGUAAUGUGAAUUGCAGAAUUCAGUGAAUCAUCGAAUCUUUGAACGCACAUUGCGCCCGCCAGUAUUCUGGCGGGCAUGCCUGUUCGAGCGUCAUUUCAACCAUCAAGCCCCCGGCUUGUGUUGGGGACCUGCGGCUGCCCGCAGGCCCUGAAAAACAGUGGCGGGCUCGCUGUCACACCGAGCGUAGUAGCAUACAUUCUCGCUCAGGGCGUGCUGCGGGUUCCGGCCGUUAAACGACCUUCAUAACCCAAGGUUGACCUCGGAUCAGGUAGAAAGACCCGCUGAACUUAAGC
RNAcentral lists this unclassified non-coding RNA (305 nucleotides) under plant metagenome. RNAcentral's name for it is "partial contains 5.8S ribosomal RNA, internal transcribed spacer 2, and large subunit ribosomal RNA". The stretch from base 1 to 105 matches the Rfam family "5.8S ribosomal RNA", at positions 50 to 154 of the family's 154-position model. The record is from RNAcentral.